RNAcentral lists this unclassified non-coding RNA (1963 nucleotides) under Rhacophorus bipunctatus (Himalaya flying frog). RNAcentral describes it as "partial contains 12S ribosomal RNA, tRNA-Val, and 16S ribosomal RNA". It matches the Rfam family "Bacterial large subunit ribosomal RNA", at positions 108 to 2576 of the family's 2925-position model. The record is from RNAcentral. Lineage: Eukaryota; Metazoa; Chordata; Amphibia; Anura; Rhacophoridae.
AGAUACCCCAAUAUGCCUAGCCGUAAAAAUUUAAAUCACACCAACCAGCGCCAGGGUACUACGAGCUUUAGCUUAAAACCCAAAGGACUUGACGGUGUCCCACCCAACUAGAGGAGCCUGUUCUGUAAUCGAUGAUCCACGAUAUACCUAACCAUUUCUUGCUAAUCAGUCUGUAUACCUCCGUCGUAAGCUUACCGUGUGAACGCACAAUAAGUAGGCCCAAGGGCUUUAACGCCAUAACGUCAGGUCAAGGUGCAGCUCAUGAAAUGGAAGCUAUGGGCUACAAUUUCUAAUUUAGAACAAACGAAUUACUGCAUGAAACACAGUCAUGAAGGAGGAUUUAGCAGUAAGUAGGAAAUAGAGAGUCCUACUAAACUUGGCCCUGGGACGUGUACAAACCGCCCGUCACCCUCUUCAAUAGCCCACCCCACAGUCCCUAACACCAUCCCGCGUCUUAGAAGAGGCAAGUCGUAACACGGUAAGUAUACUGGAAAGUGUACUUGGAACAACAAAAUGUAGCUUAACAAAAGCCUUUCGCUUACACCGAAAAAACGUUUGUGUGACCCAAACCAUUUUGAAACCAAAAAUCUAGCCUAUAGCAAUAUUAUGGCCUCCAUUUCUACAUAUUAAUUCUAUAAAACAUUUUAGCUUUCUAGUAGAGGUGAUCAAACAACAUAUAAGCGCUUAAGAAAUAGUACCGAAAGGGAAAGAUGAAAUAAAAAUUAAAUAAUUUUAAAGUUAACUAAAGCAGAGAUUCAAGCUCGUACCUUUUGCAUCAUGGUCCAGCCAGUCUGACCAAGCAAAAAUCUUUUAGUUUGGAACCCCGAAACUAAGCGAGCUACUUCAAAACAGCUUCAAGAGCCAACCCGUCUCUGUGGCAAUAGAGUGGGAAGAUUUUCAAGUAGAAGUGAAAAGCCAAACGAGCUUAGAGAUAGCUGGUUGUUCAGGAAAAGAAUAUUAGUUCUGCCUUAAAUUUUUUUAUGUAUUUAAACAGACCUAAAAAUUUAAGAGUUAUUCAACUAAGGCACAGCUUACUUGAAACAGGGUACAACCUAUACAUUAGGGUAAACUUCUAAAUAUUAUCCCAAGUGGGCCUAAGAGCAGCCAUCUUUUAAAAAGCGUUAUAGCUUUAGCCAAUUUAAUUUGCAAAUUUCAUAAAUUUACAUGAACCCACACCCGAUACUGAACGACCCCAUAAGAAUAUGGGAAACACUAUGCUGGAACUAGUAACAAGAAUUUAACAUUCUCCACAAUGCAAGCAUAAGCCAAAAUAGAUUAACUAUUGGCUAUUAACGAAAAUGAACAAAUUACAGCAACACAACAAGAAAACCCUGUAUACCCUUCUCGUUAACCUAACACCAGAGCACUUUCGGAAAGAUUAAAAGAGAAAGAAGGAACUCGGCAAAUUUUAACCCCGCCUGUUUACCAAAAACAUCGCCUCUUGACAACUAUAAGAGGUCCAGCCUGCCCAGUGAUAAAUUCAACGGCCGCGGUAUCCUAACCGCGCGAAGGUAGCAUAAUCACUUGUUCUUUAAAUAGGGACUUGUAUCAACGGCAUCACGAGGGUUACACUGUCUCCUCUCUCCAAUCAGUGAAACUGAUCUCCCCGUGAAGAAGCGGGGAUAGACUAAUAAGACGAGAAGACCCCAUGGAGCUUUAAACCCACAGCAACUCUAACACCUUAUCCCUCAUAACCAGUAGAGACAUGCACGUCGGCUUUAGGUUGGGGUGACCGCGGAGUAAAACCAACCCUCCACGACGAAAAGAACUAAAUCUUUAUCUAAGAGUGACCACUCUAAGAAUUAGCAUACUAACGAACAAUGACCCGAUAAUCGAUCAACGGACCAAGUUACCCUGGGGAUAACAGCGCAAUCUACUUCAAGAGCCCGUAUCAACAAGUAGGCUUACGACCUCGAUGUUGGAUCAGGGUACCCCGGUGGUGCAGCCGCUACUAAAGGUUCGU